Molecule: ribosomal RNA, 508 nt
Filed under: uncultured bacterium
Lineage: Bacteria
Description: partial 16S ribosomal RNA
Rfam family: Bacterial small subunit ribosomal RNA
Source: RNAcentral
AUUGAACGCUGGCGGCAUGCCUUACACAUGCAAGUCGAACGGCAGCGGGGGAGAAGCUUGCUUUUCCUGCCGGCGAGUGGCGAACGGGUGAGUAAUACAUCGGAACGUGCCCUGUAGUGGGGGAUAACUAGUCGAAAGAUUAGCUAAUACCGCAUACGACCCGAGGGUGAAAGUGGGGGACCGCAAGGCCUCAUGCUAUAGGAGCGGCCGAUGUCUGAUUAGCUAGUUGGUGGGGUAAAGGCCUACCAAGGCGACGAUCAGUAGCUGGUCUGGGAGGACGAUCAGCCACACUGGGACUGAGACACGGCCCAGACUCCUACGGGAGGCAGCAGUGGGGAAUUUUGGACAAUGGGCGAAAGCCUGAUCCAGCAAUGCCGCGUGUGUGAAGAAGGCCUUCGGGUUGUAAAGCACUUUUGUCCGGAAAGAAAUGGCUCUGGUUAAUACCUGGGGUCGAUGACGGUACCGGAAGAAUAAGGACCGGCUAACUACGUGCCAGCAGCCGCCGUAA